RNAcentral lists this ribosomal RNA (519 nucleotides) under Theama sp. 214385943. Its description in RNAcentral is "SSU rRNA". It matches the Rfam family "Eukaryotic small subunit ribosomal RNA", at positions 78 to 593 of the family's 1831-position model. Lineage: Eukaryota; Metazoa; Platyhelminthes; Polycladida; Theamatidae. The record is from RNAcentral.
ACGAUGAAACCGCGAAUGGCUCAUUAAAUCAGCUAUGGUUCCUUGGAUCGUGUCUCUUACAUGGAUAACUGUGGGAAUUCUAGAGCUAAUACAUGCACCAAAGCCGUGACCGCAAGGAACGGCGCAUUUAUUAGAUCAAAACCAACCGGUCUCCGGACUGAGUUGUUUGAUGACUCUGGAUAAACUUGAGCAGAUCGCAUGGCCGUGAGCCGGCGACGUAUCCUUCAAAUGUCUGCCCUAUCAACUUACGUUGGUAGGUUACCUGCCUACCAUGGUGAUCACGGGUAACGGGGAAUCAGGGUUCGAUUCCGGAGAGGGAGCAUGAGAAACGGCUACCAGAACUACGGUUUGCAGCAGGCGCGCAAAUUACCCACUCCCAGUACGGGGAGGUAGUGACGAAAAAUAACAAUACGGGUCUUUUUAUAGGCCCCGUAAUUGGAAUGAGUACACCUUAAAACCAUUAACGAGUACCAAUUGGAGGGCAAGUCUGGUGCCAGCAGCCGCGGUAAUCCAGCUCCA